CCAUAUCGCUACGUAAUGUCUG
This 22-nucleotide non-coding RNA is filed under the name Arabidopsis thaliana (thale cress). Lineage: Eukaryota; Viridiplantae; Streptophyta; Magnoliopsida; Brassicales; Brassicaceae. The record is from RNAcentral.